RNAcentral lists this ribosomal RNA (160 nucleotides) under Fusarium oxysporum. RNAcentral describes it as "partial 28S ribosomal RNA". It matches the Rfam family "Eukaryotic large subunit ribosomal RNA", at positions 3240 to 3399 of the family's 3401-position model. The record is from RNAcentral. RNAcentral also lists the same sequence under 1 other name. Lineage: Eukaryota; Fungi; Ascomycota; Sordariomycetes; Hypocreales; Nectriaceae.
GGCGCUCGAAGCGCGUCGUGGUAUUUCGCGUAUUGUAAUUUCAACACGAGCGGGGUCAAAUCCUUUGCAGACGACUUAGCUGUGCGAAACGGUCCUGUAAGCAGUAGAGUAGCCUUGUUGUUACGAUCUGCUGAGGGUAAGCCGUCCUUCGCCUCGAUUU